UUUAUUUAUAUAAAAUAACAGUUUUUUCUAAUACAAUCGGAAUUUGACAUUCAAUUUGAUGCAUUCCACAUUUUUCACGAUGCCUAUACCACGUGACUUUUUAAGAUCUGUGUGGGGAGUUAAAUGUCAACAAAGGCACGACAAAGUAAUCACCUAUUUGGCACUAGUGAGCGGACAAGGGUUAAGGGAAGAAAAAAUAGAGGAAACAGUUUCACGAGACAAGAAUGCUAUACAGAAGGGGACACUAGGAGUAAGGUGGGAGCGGGCGAGACGAAACGAUAGCAAACUGUUGCCAACAAUAAGAAUGCGGAUAGACGAACACAAUGGACAUUUUAAUUCUGACACAAAUUCUGCAAUAGAAAUUGUGUCAAAUAUUACGCAGGUUGACAAAAAGCAAAGGCAUGUUCUUUCCUGAGUAAUACGUAUGUUUUAAAAUCAAAUUUGGAAUGCAAACUGAUAAAACAGAAUCCACCAGA
Dreissena polymorpha is the source of this 476-nucleotide long non-coding RNA. RefSeq lists it as uncharacterized. The transcript is spliced from 2 exons. NCBI's taxonomy places the organism in Eukaryota, Metazoa, Mollusca, Bivalvia, Myida, Dreissenidae. The record is from RefSeq and is a predicted model, not a curated record.